GACGAACCGUCCUAACGUUGUUCGGAAUCACUGGGCUUAAAGGGCGCGUAGGCGGGCAGCCAAGUCUGAGGUGAAAUCUUUCGGCUUAACCGGAAAAUAGCCUUGGAUACUGGCAGUCUCGAGGGAGGUAGGGGCAUGUGGAACUUCCGGUGGAGCGGUGAAAUGCGUUGAUAUCGGAAGGAACGCCGGUGGCGAAAGCGACGUGCUGGACCUCUACUGACGCUGAGGCGCGAAAGCGUGGGGAGCGAACAGG
This 253-nucleotide ribosomal RNA is filed under the name uncultured bacterium. RNAcentral's name for it is "partial 16S ribosomal RNA". It matches the Rfam family "Bacterial small subunit ribosomal RNA", at positions 524 to 776 of the family's 1533-position model. The record is from RNAcentral.